GGGGCUGACCGGUUUUGACAGCGUAGAUCUUUGAAAGUAAGCAUGCAGUGCGUUGCGUAUGUUGCACUUUAAUCUGAAUACGAAAACCACAAAUGGCGAGAAUACUUACGCCAUGGCUGCCUAAUCAGAGAUUAGCGCAUCCAUUAUAGCCGGCUGACGGGCCUUCCUUUGCCAAGUCACCCCGCUGAAUCAAAAAAAACAAGGAUGCUUCAACCGAAGGCUGUGACGGUUGAUCAAGACCAUUCAGCUACGGAUCCGGUUGGUUUGCUCAGCUCCUGCCAGUUCUCGACAAUCAAUGCUGAAAUAAGCAUGUAGAAAGCUUUCCGGGAAUAUGUUUGGACGUGGGUUCGAAUCCCACCAGCUCCACCA
RNAcentral lists this transfer-messenger RNA (369 nucleotides) under Chitinophagaceae. RNAcentral's name for it is "SXYR01 sp005788265 Standard tmRNA". It matches the Rfam family "transfer-messenger RNA". Rfam says of the family: Bacterial tmRNA, also known as 10Sa RNA or SsrA, is named for its dual tRNA and mRNA-like properties. Lineage: Bacteria; Pseudomonadati; Bacteroidota; Chitinophagia; Chitinophagales. The record is from RNAcentral. RNAcentral also lists the same sequence under 1 other name.